AGCGAACGCUGGCGGCAGGCCUAACACAUGCAAGUCGAACGAACUCUUCGGAGUUAGUGGCGGACGGGUGAGUAACACGUGGGAACGUGCCUUUUGGUUCGGAAUAACUCAGGGAAACUUGUGCUAAUACCGAAUGUGCCCUUCGGGGGAAAGAUUUAUCGCCAUUAGAGCGGCCCGCGUCUGAUUAGCUAGUUGGUGAGGUAACGGCUCACCAAGGCGACGAUCAGUAGCUGGUCUGAGAGGAUGACCAGCCACACUGGGACUGAGACACGGCCCAGAAUCCUACGGGAGGCAGGAGUGGGGAAUCUUGCGGAAUGGGCGAAAGCCUGACGCAGCCAUGCCGCGUGAAUGAUGAAGGUCUUAGGAUUGUAAAAUUCUUUCACCGGGGACGAUAAUGACGGUACCCGGAGAAGAAGCCCCGGCUAACUUCGUG
This 433-nucleotide ribosomal RNA is filed under the name uncultured bacterium. RNAcentral's name for it is "partial 16S ribosomal RNA". It matches the Rfam family "Bacterial small subunit ribosomal RNA", at positions 29 to 507 of the family's 1533-position model. The record is from RNAcentral.